RNAcentral lists this ribosomal RNA (760 nucleotides) under uncultured bacterium. RNAcentral's name for it is "bacterial SSU rRNA". It matches the Rfam family "Bacterial small subunit ribosomal RNA", at positions 576 to 1333 of the family's 1533-position model. The record is from RNAcentral.
UGGUUGGUCACGUCUGCUGUGGAAACGCAACGCUUAACGUUGCGCGUGCAGUGGGUACGGGCUGACUAGAGUGCAGUAGGGGAGUCUGGAAUUCCUGGUGUAGCGGUGAAAUGCGCAGAUAUCAGGAGGAACACCGGUGGCGAAGGCGGGACUCUGGGCUGUAACUGACACUGAGGAGCGAAAGCAUGGGGAGCGAACAGGAUUAGAUACCCUGGUAGUCCAUGCCGUAAACGUUGGGCACUAGGUGUGGGGGGCAUUCCACGUUCUCCGCGCCGUAGCUAACGCAUUAAGUGCCCCGCCUGGGGAGUACGGUCGCAAGGCUAAAACUCAAAGGAAUUGACGGGGGCCCGCACAAGCGGCGGAGCAUGCGGAUUAAUUCGAUGCAACGCGAAGAACCUUACCAAGGCUUGACAUACACCGGACCGUCCUGGAAACAGGUCCUCUUCUUUGAAGCUGGUGUACAGGUGGUGCAUGGUUGUCGUCAGCUCGUGUCGUGAGAUGUUGGGUUAAGUCCCGCAACGAGCGCAACCCUCGUUCUAUGUUGCCAGCACGUGAUGGUGGGAACUCAUAGGAGACUGCCGGGGUCAACUCGGAGGAAGGUGGGGAUGACGUCAAAUCAUCAUGCCCUUUAUGUCUUGGGCUUCACGCAUGCUACAAUGGCUGGUACAGAGAGAGGCGAACCCGUGAGGGCAAGCGAAUCCCUUAAAGCCAGUCUCAGUUCGGAUCGUAGUCUGCAAUUCGACUACGUGAAGUCGGAGUC